Molecule: ribosomal RNA, 506 nt
Filed under: uncultured bacterium
Lineage: Bacteria
Description: partial 16S ribosomal RNA
Rfam family: Bacterial small subunit ribosomal RNA
Source: RNAcentral
AUUGAACGCUGGCGGCAGGCUUAACACAUGCAAGUCGAGCGGUAACAGAGAGAAGCUUGCUUCUCUGCUGACGAGCGGCGGACGGGUGAGUAAUGCCUAGGAAUCUGCCUAGUAGUGGGGGAUAACUUGCCGAAAGGUAAGCUAAUACCGCAUACGUCCUACGGGAGAAAGGAGGGGACCUUCGGGCCUUUCGCUAUUAGAUGAGCCUAGGUCGGAUUAGUUAGUUGGGGAGGUAAUGGCUCACCAAGACCGCGAUCCGAAACUGGUCUGAGGGGAUGAUCGGUCACACUGGAACUGAGACACGGUCCAGACUCCUACGGGAGGCAGCAGUGGGGAAUAUUGGACAAUGGGGGGAACCCUGAUCCAGCCAUGCCGCGUGUGUGAAGAAGGUCUUAGGAUUGUAAAGCACUUUAAGUUGGGAGGAAGAGCAGUUAACUAAUAUUUGACUGUUUUGACGUUACCGACAGAAUAAGCACCGGCUAACUUCGUGCCAGCCGCCGCCGUAA